AUGCUCGAGCUGCUCGCGCGGCGAGAGCGGGCCGCCGCGUGCCGGCCGGGGACGGACCGGGAACGGCCCCCUCGGGGGCCUUCCCCGGGCGUCGAACAACCGACUCAGAACUGAAUCCAAGCUAGCAACCGGCGCCUCUGCUCGCCGCCCGCCCCGACCCACGUUAGGGCGUUCGCGCCCCAAGGGCCCGUGCCAUUGGCUCAGCCCGCCCGGCCGACGCGCCGCGGCGGGCCGCCUCGAAGCUCCCUUCCCAACGGGCGGCGUGCUGAAUCCUUUGCAGACGACUUAAAACGCGACGGGGCAUUGCAGAACUCCCCGAAGUCCUGGGAGGGGGUCUCCUCGGCCGAGCCCCGCACCCCCUCGCGGCCUAGCCGUGGCCGGUCGGCACCCUACCGCGCCCAGCUCCGGCUGGCGCUGUUGGCUGCCUGGCCGGCCGUGGUUCGGCCGUGA
Molecule: unclassified non-coding RNA, 450 nt
Filed under: Zea mays
Lineage: Eukaryota; Viridiplantae; Streptophyta; Magnoliopsida; Poales; Poaceae
Description: misc RNA Zm00001eb441350
Source: RNAcentral